UGUCACCUCUCUCCUGCAGACUGUCCAUC
RNAcentral lists this non-coding RNA (29 nucleotides) under Mus musculus (house mouse). The record is from RNAcentral. Lineage: Eukaryota; Metazoa; Chordata; Mammalia; Rodentia; Muridae.